This 421-nucleotide ribosomal RNA is filed under the name uncultured bacterium. Its description in RNAcentral is "partial 16S ribosomal RNA". It matches the Rfam family "Bacterial small subunit ribosomal RNA", at positions 360 to 773 of the family's 1533-position model. The record is from RNAcentral.
AAUAUUGGACAAAGGGGGCAACCCUGAUCCAGCCAUCCCGCGUGUGCGUUGAAGCCCUUCGGGUUGUAAAGCACUUUUGUCAGGGUAGAAAAGGCUCUGGCUAAUACCUGGAGCUGCUGAUGGUACCUGAAUAAUAAGCACCGGCUAACUACGUGCCAGCAGCCGCGGUAAUACGUAGGGUGCAAGCGUUAAUCGGAAUUACUGGGCGUAAAGCGUGCGCAGGCGGUUCGGCAAGAAGGAUGUGAAAUCCCAGGGCUUAACCUUGGAACUGCAUUCUUAACUGCCGGGCUAGAGUAUGUCAGAGGGGGGUAGAAUUCCGCGUGUAGCAGUGAAAUGCGUAGAGAUGCGGAGGAAUACCGAUGGCGAAGGCAGCCCCCUGGGAUAAUACUGACGCACAUGCACGAAAGCGUGGGGAGCAAAC